AUGGAAAAAACCAAUGUGCCUAGCAAGCAAAAGACCUUGGCCCUGAGUCCGUCAGAAACCACUGGUGUGUGGCAGAUGCUACCCUUCUCUCCAUGUGGGAAGCCACGCUUUGGACGGCUAUGCUCUGGGACCUCCCUCCUGUCCACGCUGCCCUUGUUCAAGGCCUUUGUCCAUGUGGCAAAAUCAAUUAUGCAACUAAAGGAAAAUAAAAUCAGAGCUGUCAGUGUUCUGUGGCUACAACCGAAGCAGCCCAGCCUCGGAGUCCCACCCUGACCUAAGCCAGCUUGAAAAAGAGGGUCUGCCAUCUCGACACCAAAAAAGCAUUCAUUAACCAAGUAAAGCAACUUAACACAGAACAGCCAGUGAAUAAAUGAGUUCAAGGAACAAACGAAAACA
Molecule: long non-coding RNA, 396 nt
Filed under: Sus scrofa (pig)
Lineage: Eukaryota; Metazoa; Chordata; Mammalia; Artiodactyla; Suidae
Description: lncRNA (ENSSSCG00015013908.1)
Source: RNAcentral